Molecule: long non-coding RNA, 2857 nt
Organism: Solanum pennellii
Lineage: Eukaryota; Viridiplantae; Streptophyta; Magnoliopsida; Solanales; Solanaceae
Exons: 8
Source: RefSeq, a predicted model, not a curated record
UGGCCUUUCUAGAAGACUCGUGAAGUCUUUUCUUCUUUCCAACAAUGAAGAAUUUCCAGAAGACUUGUCCGAGUUUCUUUCAUCCAAACUGAAAUUUUUCAAUUUCAUAACUUAACUUCAUCGAUACCGUGUGUUCAAAAUUUUCAAUAAGUACCUUGUGCCAUAGGCAUACAAAGCGAGAGGUUGUGUCUGCUAGCUCAAGCUAAGAUAUUUCGCCAAAGUAGGUAACAUCAAUUUUCCGAGUUGGGAUUUCUAAUACUGCUUUUCAAUCUCAAGAAUCUUAAAAUUAUCGGCUGCCUUAUGACAUGGUUGGAGGCGUGGUCUGAAGCAGAGUUUUGAAAAGAAGACGAGGAAGUGAAUGAACCUCUCUCGAGAUCAAACAGAGAAAGAAAUCGGCCGUGGGUUUUAGUGAAGCACGGAGGAUUCCCGAAGUUGUGCCAUCUGGUCUUUGACCUUUUUUUUUGGUGGCUUACACAUUUCUCUAAUGUGGUUGUCGUACAACACUAACUGUUCCAUUCUGCGGGAAAGGUCAAAAGUAUUGUUGCACUUGGCUGAACUGGUUGAGAAACAUAAUGAUCAAAUUGCAACGUUCGAGACUUGAGACACUGAGAAGCCAUAUGAACAGGCUGUUAAGAUUGGAGUACGCUGGUUGUACAUCCCCGUUAUUAUGCUGGCUAGGCAGAUAAAAUUCUUGAUAUGACUAUUCCUGCUGAAGGACCAUAUUGUAUUCAAACGUUGCAUGAACUGAUUGAAUUUGUUGGUUAGAUUAUCUCAUGAAAUUUUCCUCUCCUCGUGUUCUCUUGGAAGAUGAGCCCUACUUUCACUUGUGGCAGAAAUAUCGUGUUAAAAAUGCUGAGCAGACCCCUUUAACUACACUCUAUGUAGAAAAUCUGUUGCAGGAGGUAGCAUCAAAAUUUUCUCUUUUAUUGCCCAAAAGAGUCGUUUUGCACAGUAAGUCAAGUUUCAGUCUUUUUGGUAUCGUAUCUGAGUGAAAGAAUAUGUUCUUUUUCUUUUCAAUUUUAGAAAAAUAUUCCACAACAGUUGAAGUUUUUCAUUGAUUCUUAUCAAACAACAACAUAUUCAGUGUAAUUUGAUGAGUGGUGAUUGGGGAGGAUAGUGUAUACGCAACCUUAUCAUAUAAGUUCGAUAAUAUGUUAUUUGAAAUUAAUUCUUGAUUCUUGAAUAUAUGAUUUAAGUAUGAACUUGGAAGCAAAGAAUCAAUGCUAAUUCAAGAGAAGGGAACUGUUAAAUGAAUAACUAUUAAGUUGAUAUGCCGGAUUACUACUAAAAAGAUAUGCUGAAAAUAAAAAGAUCCUCUUUAUAACUCAAGAUCACAACUUUUUUCAUCGGUUAAUUUUAGCACUUUUUUAAAAGAUAUAUAAUGGAUCUUUUAUUACAAUCUGUUUGUUCUUGUAAUUUUUGAACUAUAUAACCCAAAGAUAAAUGGAUUAUCCCUCACCUCUUCCAAUUCCAUGGAUAUUUGCUGUCAUUCCCAUACCUUGAGAAGGUAUAUGAGCCUUAUACUCAUGGUUGUGUCCAUGAGCUUACAACUGUCUGAAUAAGUUUGCUUAUGUCUGUUUCUUAUAGAGCAACCAUAUUUGAGUAGAUCUUAUUGAAUCCUGAUGGUUGAGUUGUCAAGAGGCCACAGUUCAUAUUGAUAUGAGUUAGGUCUAUUCAUUUCUUCACCGUCGUCUCCUCAAAACUCCUCUGCUCUUCUGGUAUUUCUUUUUCAAUAAUAGAUGUAGAUAUUGAAAAUUCAAGUUCAUUUAUUUUCCACCUCUCUCUCUCUGGUUUAUGGUAUGUAUGCAUUUAUCAACUUUAUUUUUUCAAGUUUACCUAUUCUAAUUUACGAUAGAGCUAUCUUUUUUUUUCUUCUUUACUCAUUAAUAAUUAGAAAUUGAAUUUGUAUUUGAACUGCAGUUAGCUUUAAACUCAGUAAGAACUACAUUGAGGUACAAUGUACCAUAUAAAGUCGGGGUUUCUUGAUUGACAUACGACAAAUGGAGAGCUCUGACUAUGCAUCGGUCUCUCACCAAAAAGUUUGUUCAAGUUGAGUGAUAUAUUUAGGUGGAAUGCUUUCGAUUUUUAGCCCUCAAAAGAAGAUGAUUGUGUUAUUCUUCAAUAUAUAGAAUCAGAUGUUGUUAUCUUGAGUCAAUUGAAGCAAGUUUCCAAGGUGGAAACUGGAAAUAAUCUGUCAAAACAUGAGAAGGUUCAAAAACUUCUGUCAAAACAUGAGAAGGUUCAAAAACUUGUUAUGUAACAGUGGUUAGAAGCUUUAAGUCGCACAUAUAUUUUUGUCUAAUGUAUGUAAAAACUAUAAUUAGAUCCAAAGUGUAUAUGAACUUAAACAAUUAUUUGUUUAAUCAAAUAUGCUGCAUUAGUAUAUUUAUCAGAUCAACAAUAAAGUUACCUAAUGCAUGUAAUACUUUUAAUCUUUAUAUUUGAAUUGGAUGUCGUUGAAUUAAAUUAAUUAGAUUUCCUUUUGCUAAAGGGCUGUUGCACAUGUAAUUGUAUAUAUGUAAGUAGUAGUGUUGGGCCCGUGCUUAGCACGGGUACAUGCCUGUCUAGUAUAUACAUAUAAAGCUUAAUCUUAGUCAUUGGUAAACAAAAUUGAAAAUAUGGAGAGGUUCAUUGUCAUUGUAGAUAUGUCCAACAGGUUCCAAGGUCAAUCCCUAACUACAUCUGCAAAACCUGCUAAUGGUAAUGUUGCAGAACAAAGUGUGGGUGGAAAUGAAACAAGAAAUACACAAGGACCAGUGUUACAUGAAACAAGAGCUAAAACAGCAACACCUCUAGUGAAACCAGCUUCUCCUAAGACUGGUUGAUUAUUAAUUACUACUACCGUCUUAAUUUAUGU